UACAGGGGGUGCAAGCGUUGCUCGGAAUCACUGGGCGUAAAGCGUGCGCAGGCGGACCACCAAGUCGGGCGUGAAAGCCCUGGGCUCAACCCAGGAACUGCGUUCGAAACUAGCGGUCUUGAGUACGGGAGAGGUGAGCGGAAUUCCUGGUGUAGAGGUGAAAUUCGUAGAUAUCAGGAGGAACACCGGUGGCGAAAGCGGCUCACUGGCCCGAUACUGACGCUCAUGCACGAAAGCGUGGGGAGCAAACAGG
RNAcentral lists this ribosomal RNA (253 nucleotides) under uncultured bacterium. RNAcentral's name for it is "partial 16S ribosomal RNA". It matches the Rfam family "Bacterial small subunit ribosomal RNA", at positions 524 to 776 of the family's 1533-position model. The record is from RNAcentral.